Molecule: transfer RNA, 71 nt
Filed under: Mitsukurina owstoni (goblin shark)
Lineage: Eukaryota; Metazoa; Chordata; Chondrichthyes; Lamniformes; Mitsukurinidae
Description: tRNA-Ser
Rfam family: tRNA
About the family: Transfer RNA (tRNA) molecules are approximately 80 nucleotides in length. Their secondary structure includes four short double-helical elements and three loops (D, anti-codon, and T loops).
Source: RNAcentral
AAGAGAGUGACAGAAUGGUGAUGUGGUUGGCUUGAAACUAACAUAAGGGGGUUCGAUUCCUUCCUUUCUUG